This is a long non-coding RNA of Folsomia candida, 2231 nucleotides long. RefSeq lists it as uncharacterized. NCBI's taxonomy places the organism in Eukaryota, Metazoa, Arthropoda, Collembola, Entomobryomorpha, Isotomidae. The record is from RefSeq and is a predicted model, not a curated record. The transcript is spliced from 3 exons.
CGCAUGGUGAUUUCUUUCUCAUUAUCAUUCCAACCUUUCUCCAGUAACAUGUAUAAAAAAUUGCAGAACGUUUAGCAUCAGUUCCAUUACAGAAAUUUUAAUUACGUCACGUGUAAAAUAAGUCUUAAAAGUUAAGUGGAGACGUAAAAAAAUAAGUGAAAAAAGAAUUUAUGUUUUGCCAAAUUGGAGCACAAACGCAGACUCGGCUUCCAACUUUGUACGAUAAUUCGCUUUAUUCCAAUUUCAUAAUUGGGAAUUCUAUAUCUACCUAAAUUUCGGGACUUUUGAGGGUACAAAUUUGCCCUAUUUUUUCGAGCUUCCAAGAAUCCAUGACAUUCGUGAUGGAAAUUUGCAGACUGCAGAACAUGUUGCAUGACACUGCCAGGUCAUCACUUCAGGAAGGUCUAAAAUCUGUAGGACUACAGAUUUUAGACCACCCCUCGUCUCAUGAAGGAACCAUUUCAUAAUUAUCCACAACAAGCUUGUCUACUUCCUCCUGCAACAAGUAAUGUCCCAUCUUCUACAUAAUUCGACCUAAUUAGGCUUAUCUACCGCAACAAUGGAAACAUGAAUGGAUCUCGGUAUCUUUUGAUACAUAACUGCAUAAAUUAUAUUUACUUUUAAUUAUAACCAUUUUUCAAUGACGUCAACAAUUUUCGUCGAACAUCUUUUUAAUUACAAAAAUUGUGCAUGUGUUAAUCCAUCCAGUCGUCUAAUUUUUAUAAGAAAAAUUCUUACGUAUUUAUGUAGAGUGUCUCAAAAUAUUGAUGGCACCUAUUUUUAAUUGUGAUAUGAUCCCGAGCACUUACGAAUGCCUGCAGUCGUAUAAACUAAUUGGCGAAUAAUUCCUCGUCGUCGUAGAUUUUUAAGGAUUCAUAAUUUAAGGAUUGGUAAUUUACACAUUCGAAGCGGUGAUAGCGUCAGAAGAUACGGUUUUACAAUGAUUUCUUUAAAUUUGAAUAUUAUUUUUUUUUCAAUUUGUUAACAAAUUGUUUAAUUAGAGUCGUCCUUCUAAUUUUCAUAUUUGACAAAUCUGAAAUCAUUGUUCUGUUAUCAGAAAAUGUGUAGUUCGUUGUAUGUAAUAUUUAAAUAUUAGAAAAGCCCGUGUGUCAAUUCAUUUGACAAAGAAAUGUGCACGUUGUGGGAUAACGUUAAGUCUGGUAUAGAAAUAUGCAUAAGUAUGAAAUCAUUGUCCGGUGUACAGGGCAAUUAUGCGUUUCGAAAGAUUGUCUAAACUCCCAACGAAAUUCCAAGAAUGAUAAUCAUUGAGAUUUUAUAGUUUAUUUCUUAAAAUCGAAAAUUCGAGAGCGGACACAAUUUAUUGUGUUAAAUGAGAAAUAUUGAAAAAUAUGAAGUAUGUGAAAACAUCAUAUUUUCUAACUUAAUGAUUUCAUGGAAUAAUAUACCGUAAAACCUCUAUUUAUAGCCGGGGCUAAAAUCCAAAACUGAGGGCCACGGACCCGGCUAAAAUUAGAGACCGGCUAUAAUUAGAGACCCGGCUAAAUUUUGUUGCUCCAAAAAUUUUAGAUGUUACAAAAUCAAAUAUAAUUCAUUUUGACUCAAUUUGAGUUUUCUAAUUUAGCAAGAUAAGCCAUAAGUAACCCAUUCACUUUUAAUCUACAUCUUGAAACGAAGUUUAGCAGGUUUUUUAAAUCGUCUGUCAUGAUUAUAUCCAUUAUUAACCUGAAAUUAAUAGGAAAAAAUUAGUAGUUCAACUUAUUCGUUGAUUGGCAUAAUGUGCAACAUUUUUCUUUAAUGGACUAUGAACAGGGACACAGGGGACAAGACAGGUCAUAAUUAGAGACCCGGCCAAAAUUUUGAAAUCUUGGGCUCUAGACCCGGCUAUAUUUGGAGACCGGCUAUAAUUAGAAGAGGGCUAUAAAUAGAGGUUUUACGGUAUUCCUGCUCUGACUAAAUAGAACCGAAGUUAGGUCGUGAGAAAUAUUCGUGUCCUACAUCUAAUGUAUCGAUGGCCAUGUUUUUUCUGCUUUUUUAGUAGAUAAAGACUCCUUAGGCCCAUAAUUAUUCCUCGGUUUAACAUAUGAACAUAUUCGAAUGCAUCGUUGAGUAGUACACUUUAGUGAAAAAUUAUUCACACAUAACGCAUUUUUGUUGGGGUUUGUAUUCACGAAAUGAUAUAAAUACAUAUAAUGAUUAAUUACAUUUGUUUGCUAAUAAUGUGUGAAUUAUUCAAGACAAAAAUUAUGAAUUAAAAAACUUCAAGUGUUUCA